UACAGAGGUCCCCGAGCGUUGUUCGGAAUUACUGGGCGUAAAGGGCGCGUAGGCGGUGGUGCAAGUUGCCGGUCAAAGGCCAGGGCUCAACCCUGGACUGCUGGCAAGACUGCAUCACUAGAGGAUUGCAGGGGGAAUCGGAAUUCUCGGUGUAGCAGUGAAAUGCGUAGAUAUCGAGAGGAACAUCAGUGGCGAAGGCGGAUUCCUGGGCAAUUCCAGACGCUGAGGCGCGAAAGCCAAGGUAGCAAACGGGAUUAGAAACCCCGGUAGU
RNAcentral lists this ribosomal RNA (271 nucleotides) under uncultured bacterium. Its description in RNAcentral is "partial 16S ribosomal RNA". It matches the Rfam family "Bacterial small subunit ribosomal RNA", at positions 524 to 794 of the family's 1533-position model. The record is from RNAcentral.